Molecule: ribosomal RNA, 2079 nt
Filed under: human gut metagenome
Description: bacterial LSU rRNA
Rfam family: Bacterial large subunit ribosomal RNA
Source: RNAcentral
AGGUGCAGCGUCGGAUUCAUUACAUCCGGGGGGUAGAGCUACUGGAUGCUUGCGGGCCCGUACUGGGUACCAACAGCAACCAAACUCCGAAUACCCGUGAUGCGUAUCCCGGCAGUGAGUCGGCGGGGGAUAAGCUCCGUCGUCGAAAGGGAAACAGCCCAGAUCGUCGUCUAAGGUCCCCAAGCGUGUGCUAAGUGGGAAAGGAUGUGGAGUCGCAUAGACAGCCAGGAGGUUGGCUCAGAAGCAGCCACCCUUGAAAGAGUGCGUAACAGCUCACUGGUCUAGUGGUUCCGCGCCGACAAUGUAGCGGGGCUCAAGCACACCACCGAAGACGCGGCAGUAGCUUUGCUACUGGGUAGGAGAGCGUCCCAUGCGGGGCGAAGCGGCGGCGCAAGCCCGCCGUGGACCGCAUGGGAGUGAGAAUGCAGACAUGAGUAGCGAAAGACGGGUGAAGAUCCCGUCCGCUGGACGACCAAGGGUUCCAGGGCCACGUUCAUCGUCCCUGGGUGAGUCGGGUCCUAAGGCGAGGCCGACAGGCGUAGUCGAAUGGACGAACGGGUCGAUAUUCCCGUACCGGCAUGCAACCGGCAAAACCGAAUCCGCGAGUACUAACCUCCGGGUCCGGGCUCACGUCUCCUUCGGGAGCCGGAUGCCCUGGCCUGUUGGGACCGUAACGGUAGUAGGUCAGCGCGGGAGUGACGCAGAAGGGUAGCCGGCCGCGGAGGUGGUCUUCCGUGGUCAAGCACGCAGCCCGUCCCACAGGCAAAUCCGUGGGGCGCGUGGGCGAGGUGCGAUGAUGGGCGCCGCAGGGCGCGAUAUCCGGUGAUCCCGGCUGCCGAGAAAAGCUUCGGCGUGAGGCGGCAUGCCGCCCGUACCCCAAACCGACACUGGUGGUCAGGUAGAGAAUACCAAAGCGAUCGAGCGAAUCCUGGUCAAGGAACUCGGCAAAUUACUCCCGUGCCUUCGGUAUAAGGGAGGCCCCUGAUGGUGAACCGGCUUGCCCGGGGAGCUGUUGGGGGUGGCACAGACCAGGGGGUAGCGACUGUUUACCAAAAACACAGGAGCGUGCGAAGGCGCAAGCCGCUGUAUACGCUCUGACGCCUGCCCGGUGCCGGAAGGUUAAGAGGAUCCGUCAGGCCUCGGCCGAAGCGGUGAAUUCAAGCCCCGGUAAACGGCGGUGGUAACUAUAACCAUCCUAAGGUAGCGAAAUUCCUUGUCGGGUAAGUUCCGACCUGCACGAAUGGCGUAACGACUUCCCCACUGUCUCGACCAGGAGCUCGGCGAAAUUGCAGUACGAGUAAAGAUGCUCGUUAAGCGCAGAAGGACGAAAAGACCCCGGGACCUUUACUAUACCUUGGUAUUGGCAUUAGGCGCGGAUUGUGUAGCAUAGGCGGGAGGCUUCGAAGCGGGUGCGCCAGCAUCCGUGGAGCCGCAAGGUGAAAUACCGCUCUGUUCUCGUUUGAUGUCUCACCUCGACCAGUCAUCCUGGUCAGGGACAGUGCCUGGCGGGUAGUUUAACUGGGGCGGUUGCCUCCCAAAGAGUAACGGAGGCGCUCAAAGGUUCCCUCAGCCCGGUUGGCAAUCGGGUGUUGAGUGUAAUCGCACAAGGGAGCUUGACUGCGAGACCGACGGGUCGAGCAGGGACGAAAGUCGGAGAUAGUGAUCCGGUGCCGGCGCACGGGCGCGGCAUCGCUCAACGGAUAAAAGGUACCCCGGGGAUAACAGGCUGAUCAUUCCCAAGAGUCCAUAUCGACGGGAUGGUUUGGCACCUCGAUGUCGGCUCGUCGCAUCCUGGGGCUGGAGCAGGUCCCAAGGGUUCGGCUGUUCGCCGAUUAAAGCGGCACGCGAGCUGGGUUCAGAACGUCGUGAGACAGUUUGGUCUCUAUCCUCUGCGCUCGUUGGAAUCUUGAGGAGACCUGCCCAUAGUACGAGAGGACCUGGGUGGACGAACCUCUGGUAUGCCGGUCGUCACGCCAGUGGCGCGGCCGGUUGGCUACGUUCGGAAGGGAUAACCGCUGAAAGCAUCUAAGCGGGAAGCCUGCUCCAAGAUAAGCAUUCCAUAGGACUACGGGUCCUUGA